UUGCUAACUCCUGUUUCUAGCGGCGGACGGGUGAGUAACGCGUGAGCAACCUGCCUUUAUCAGGGGGAUAACGCAUCGAAAGAUGUGCUAAUACCGCGUAAGACCACAGCCUCACAUGGGGCAGGGGUCAAAGGAGCAAUCCGGAUAAAGAUGGGCUCGCGUCCGAUUAGCUAGUUGGUGAGAUAACAGCCCACCAAGGCGACGAUCGGUAGCCGACCUGAGAGGGUGAUCGGCCACAUUGGAACUGAGAGACGGUCCAGACUCC
This 265-nucleotide ribosomal RNA is filed under the name uncultured Eubacteriales bacterium. Its description in RNAcentral is "uncultured Clostridiales bacterium partial 16S ribosomal RNA". It matches the Rfam family "Bacterial small subunit ribosomal RNA", at positions 76 to 339 of the family's 1533-position model. Lineage: Bacteria; Bacillati; Bacillota; Clostridia; Eubacteriales. The record is from RNAcentral.